CGCUUUCGUUUCUACUCAAGAAU
Molecule: non-coding RNA, 23 nt
Filed under: Rattus norvegicus (Norway rat)
Lineage: Eukaryota; Metazoa; Chordata; Mammalia; Rodentia; Muridae
Source: RNAcentral